UAUCCAUGUGGAGGGCAUUUGAUCAACAUAUCUUUAAAUCUUUCCCAACUUUCAAAAAAUUUCUCAUCCUCCUCCUGUGAAAAAGAACUUAUUUCCUUUCUACAUU
Alnus glutinosa is the source of this 106-nucleotide small nucleolar RNA. NCBI's taxonomy places the organism in Eukaryota, Viridiplantae, Streptophyta, Magnoliopsida, Fagales, Betulaceae. The record is from RefSeq and is a predicted model, not a curated record.